UCAAAUAAAUAAAUAAAAUCUUAAAAAAAAAAGUAAUAGCUCAGUCUGAGCCAAAGUAGUAAUUAUUAUAGUUUUAUAACUGAGAGGGAUGGCAACUGUGGUCUUUCAUCAAGAUUCUGAGAGCCUGAGCAAUGACAGCUUAAGCCCUGUCUUUUUCUAGUUAGCUACAUUGGUUAUUUUUAUUUUUAUAAAGUUAUGCAAUUCCUAACACAUUUAUUGGUCAUUUGCUGUGGAAUCAAAUGCUUGGCAUUUCUGUUGGAUAGACUUUAAAAGUCCAUUAAUAACAGUUAUUCAAAUAAGUAUUUAAUGCCUAUUACGUGCCAGGCAGGAUAUAUCAGUAAAUAAACAUGUCCUCUUGGAGUUUACAUUUUAGUGUAAGAGCGAGAAAACAAGCAUACGAACAAAAAAAUAUGUGGAGAUAAGGACUAUAAGAACAAGAUAGGAUGGCGGACAAAGGGGUACUAAGGAGAAAGGGAGAAGGAGGGGGAGAGACGGAGAGGGAUUAGUUUUGCUCUGGUGGUCAAGGAAGACAUCUUUAAGGCUGUAGCAUUUUUGCCGAGACUUGUUAAAAGACAAACUAAAUUUUAAGUUUAUUCAAGCAAAAAUUGAUUGGAAUUAGGUGCUGCCAAACCAAAUGUAGCUAUGAGCGCUAAGCCAACAGAAUUCAGAGGAAAGACUUAUAUACACAAAGUGCAGAAGCAGAGAAAGGAAAGUAUUUGAUUGGCUAUAUAUUGAAGUCUAGUUGGCUUUUUGUGAUUGGUUAUCUUAGCGUUUUUUUGUUUGUGUUUUUUUUUUAAAGAUUUUAUUUAUUUAUUUAUUUGACAGAGAGAGACACAGGGAGAGAGGGAACACAAGCAGGGGGAGUGGGAGAGGGAGAAGCAGGCUUCCCGCCGAGCAGGGAGCCCGUUGCGGGGCUCGAUCCCAGGACCCUGGGACCAUGACCUGAGCCGAAGGCAGAUGCCUAACGAGACUCUUAAAUCUCAAAACCAUGGAGACUGCAUGUGGCUAAGAGCUUGGGCUCUACCCUCAGAGUCUGAACUCUUAUUUUUGCCUAAGGCUAGCAGUAUGUGACACCAUCUCAUUUGUGAUGCUGGGCAGUGGCGAUGGGCCACAGCUCCCAGUCAGCCACGAUUAUGAAGGAAUGCAGUUUUCCUAAGCUUCAAUCCACUCAGCAUGUGUGCCUUCCAACAGACCUGCAGCCGCUAGCAAGAAGAAUGAAGUGGAAGAGACAGUACCGGAAAAAUGCAGUUUACGUCUCAUUUGCCAGAACUGAGUCAUGGGGGCCACCUCUACCUGCAAGGCAAUCUGAGAAGG
This is a long non-coding RNA of Zalophus californianus (California sea lion), 1314 nucleotides long. RefSeq lists it as uncharacterized. NCBI's taxonomy places the organism in Eukaryota, Metazoa, Chordata, Mammalia, Carnivora, Otariidae. The record is from RefSeq and is a predicted model, not a curated record. The transcript is spliced from 4 exons.